AUGAGAUUUCCCAUGAUUUUAUAUCAGUAAGAGCCCUGAGAGAUGAUCAGGUAGAUAGGUUAGAAGUGGAAGUGUGGUGACACAUGUAGCGGACUAAUACUAAUAGCUCGAGGACUUAUCCAA
This 123-nucleotide ribosomal RNA is filed under the name Streptococcus gallolyticus. RNAcentral describes it as "partial 23S rRNA. Bacterial LSU". It matches the Rfam family "Bacterial large subunit ribosomal RNA", at positions 2804 to 2925 of the family's 2925-position model. The record is from RNAcentral. Lineage: Bacteria; Bacillati; Bacillota; Bacilli; Lactobacillales; Streptococcaceae.